UCAGAUGUUCUUACCUUACCAAUCCCUACUGAGGAGACUGAGGUGUAAUGGUCCUGAGGAAAAGAAGUAAUGGAAACUGAUGAGACUAGUCUGCAGUCCACACCAACACAGGGACGAGCUGGUCUCACUGCACUACAAGCUGGCUGGCAUGUCGACCAGAACAACGGAUAUCCCCGCAGAAAUCUGGAGAAGGACACAGGAUGCAGAAGAGGAAGUAAGCAAUGAGGGAAAAGAGCUGGGUCCAGACAACAGAAACUUAGGGAGAAGAGGAGAUAUAAGCCGUAUCUCCCUUCUCUCAUCAUGGCCAACGUGAAAUCACUGGCGAAUAAGAUGGAUGAGCUAACGGCGCUAGGCAGAAGUCAGAGGGAGUUCCGGGAGUGUAGUCUCAUGUGUUUUACUGAAAAAGGGCUGCCCCAGGAUAUAUCUGACCACAACGUUUCCAUUGAUGGCUUUCAGACUGUUCUGGUCGACAGGGAUUGCACCGAGAGCAGUAAGCGUAAAGGUGGCAUGCGUAAAUGCUGGUUAAUAACAGAUGGUGCCAUCCUGGUCACAUUAUGAUCAUGCAUUUGUUGCCUAACUUUUUGUCGUGGGAAAUUUGUCAACAUGUCAAUGUCGUGGCUGUCUCCCCCCCACCCCUCUGCCAACUCGACAUCGGCAUGUGACGUCAUUCACACCACCAUAGCUCGACUCAAGACUCAACACCCAAGUGCCCUCAUCGCAAUCUUAGGUGACUUCAACCACAUCACCAUGGCAAAAAGCCUGCCCAACUUCACCCAGUAUGUGAGCUGUCCAACUAGACACGAGAGGACCCUGGACUUGCUGUAUGCUAAUGCUAAGGAUGCAUACACCUCUUAUUCCCUCCCCCCCGGGUAGGUUAGACCACAACCUAGUGCACCUCAACAUGUGCAUCUGGUGAAAAGUCAGUCUGCGACUGCAAGGACAGUGAGGAGAUGGUCGGAGGAGGCCUAUGAGACACUUCAGGGCUGUUUUGAGGUGACAGUCUGGCAUGCAAUCUGUGAGCUGCAUGGAGAGAACAUUGAUGGGCUUACGGAGUGCAUCACAGACUACAUCAACUUCUGCGUGGACUGCACUGUCCCAGCGAAGACUGUCCAUUGUUUUUCUAACAAGCCAUGGGUAUGGAAUUGAACUGUGCAAUACUCUGGUAUACUCUGGCAUUAAUACUGCAUUUAUACUGUACAAUUUAUUUAUACUAUUCUUGCAUUUUAACACAUUUAUAGAUCCAAUUUCUUAGCAUUAUUAUUAUUUACACUGUUAUAUAUUGCAGUAUGAUGCACAUAUUUUUUACAUAUUUCAUAUUUUCUCAUUGUUCUAUUUAUUUUGUUGUUUAUAUUGUAGUUUAAUGCACAUUAAGAUAUCUACAUUGUCCAUGCACAGCAGUUUUCCUGCUUAGGCCUAACUAUAUUAUUCCUGCUUCCCCACACUGACACCUGGCUUACAUCAUAAUUUACCUCAAAACAUUUUAAUCAAUCUCACUCCACUUAUAUUAAUAGAAAGGAAGAUAAUUGCAUUGACAGUCCCUAUGUAGUUUACAAAACUGAUGGUGACAAUUUUAUUGGUUACCUAAGUUUUAAUACAAUUACAUACAUAAAUACAUACAUGUAUGUAGAUGUAUGUAUUUCACCA
Siniperca chuatsi (mandarin fish) is the source of this 1644-nucleotide RNA transcript. RefSeq lists it as uncharacterized. The record is from RefSeq and is a predicted model, not a curated record. Lineage: Eukaryota; Metazoa; Chordata; Actinopteri; Centrarchiformes; Sinipercidae. The transcript has 2 exons.